UAACUAAGCUACUUCUGGUGAACCAGAGCAGUGCACGGAAAUGCCGUUUACCUUCCCGCCGGAGCGGUACCUAUUUAUCUACUUGCACUUUGACAUGCUUUCGAACUGCUAGGUUGGCAGGAGCAAGGACCGAGCAACGGGAGCUCACCCUGUCGUGGGGAUUCGAACUGCCAACCUUCUGAUCGGCAAGCCCUAGGCUCUGUGGUUUAACCCACAGCGCCACCCAUGUCCCUUAAGCUGGGACAUAAUAGAGGCUUAAAAAAUUAUGCAUGGUAUGGCUAGAGAAUGUGGAUAGUGAGGUUUUCCUCCUUUCUCAUAAUACCAUAAUUGUGGGUCAUCCAAAGCAAAAUUGGUAGUAGAUUAAAGAUUGACACAAUAACAUUCACACAACACUUAACUAAUUUAUGGAAGUUGUUGCCACAGAAUGUGGUAGUGGCUUUUUACUUAGAAGGCCUCUAACUUUAUGGUGCUGCCUGUUUUGCAUAUGAUACAGCUCCCUUGCCCAAGGCAGCUAAAAUUUCUGGUCAGUGCCUGGGUGGAAAACCAGCUAUAAAAUCCUGUAUGUUGCCUAUAACUUCCAUGAUAGAAGAAAAGCAGGAUAUCAAUGCACUGAAUAAAUAGAGGGGAUUAAUCAGAUUCAUGGUUGUGCAAUAUUUGUCAUGACUGACUAAAUCACACCUCUAUGUUCAGAGGCGAUAAACCUCUACAUACCAGUUGGGGUGGGAGAACAGCAUAAGAGGACUGUUGCCUUCUUAUGUGUAUCUCAAGAGCAUAUGUUUGGCCACUGUGGAAAACAGGAUGCGUGACUAGAUAUUCCUUUGGUCUGAUCCAGAAGGGCUCUUUUAUGUUCUUACUUACUACCAGCUCAGCAUGUGAAAUUACAUGAAUGUAUAAAGUACAGGGUAAGAUGGAAUUGACCCCUCUGUGUUAGAUAUUGAAUCUAAGGAAGAUAGCCCUGUCUCUCUUUAGCUGCUAUUGAAACCAUAGAAUGGGUCGUGUCCUUUGAAACAUCAUCUGCCUCAUUAUGCAACUAGAGCCCUCUCCCCCUGUGUUCUGACUCCUGGAUGCCCCCACAUUACCCUGUCUCGUUGGAGUGUGGGUCACUGCUGUUAUUUCCCUCCCAAGUUACAAGAGCCAUAAAAUUAUUCUCCAAAGGGAAAUGAUUGCAGCAGAUGCCACCUCCCCAGUUCCCUCAAGUUCCAGACAUGGAUGUGAUCAAUGGCAUAAACAAACAAGCGCAUCAGCGCUCCAGCGUCUGCUGUGAACAAGGACAAGUAAUCUUAAUUAAGGUUUUGUCCCAAAACUUUCUAAAAUAUGGAGAGCUUGCACUCUCAGUCUUAAUAAAGUGCUACAAAUGAAGAACUAAUUUAUAUUUAACAAGGCAUUUACUGGAUGUUAGUCAACUAAGGAUUGAUUUAUCUAAAAACAAAAAAGUGGAGAGUUAUAGCUGUCUCAUCAGCUUACAACUGUCAAAUUCUAAUAAAAGUUUUAGUCUAAUAAAAGUAAUCAACCUAGUGUAUGUUAGCAGGCACUAUACAUUUUGCUAAAGUGCUAGUGAUCAUCAGCAAGGAGGAUUGUAUGUCAUGGGGUUUAAAGAUUCAUUUUAUUUAUUCACUCUGAAGAUUCAUCUCCUAUCCAUCCAAUGCAUUCAGUUGCUCAGACUAUCUUACAAUGAUUAUAAUACAACUACUGUAUCCUGUAAUCAAACAAUUUAAAACAAAGUAAUAUAAAAAUGUAAACAAGCUCAGCCAAUAAAAGACUAUACAAAGCACCAUCUGCCUAGCAAUACAAAAGCUUACCAGAACAGAAAAGCUUUCAAUAAUAGGCAGAAAAUGGCAAGGGAGGGUGCCAAGCAAACCUUAUGGAAUAUGGUGUCCAUUGGGUGCAGCUACCAAGAAGGUCCUAUCUCUUGUCCCAGACAAGCAUUCCUCCAGGUCAGGCAGGAUACAAAAAAGGGCCUCUCCAAUGGAGAUUAGGGAGGAGACAGGUUAUUUAAGAUGAAUUGGCCCCUGAAUUUUCCUGGACCCAAGCCAUUUAGAGCUUUAUAGGUAAUCACCAGCACUUGUGGCCAGAAACAAUUUGGCAAGUAGUUGCAGGAUAGGUGUGAUAUGAUCCCAUGCUUGAACACCCGCUAACAUCCUUGUUGCCACCUGGACUGACGGAAGCAUCCAAGACUCUUCAAAGGUAGCCCUGUAUAUAAAGCAUUGGACUUAUCCAGUCUGAUUAUAUCUAAGAUCUUCGCUGAAUGUCAGAAUUCAGAAAAGAAUAGAAUGAAAGUAGAGUAGAGAAGGAGAAAUAAGGAAAUGUGUUUAAGUUAAAUGAAAAAGUAAAAUUGUGCUAAGAGAAUGGUUGGAAGUCAAGUCACUACAUGGGUGUGGGUGUAGGGUAAGUUUAUAGGUAUGUAUGGUAUAGUUAUAUGGUUAUGUCUUUUGUUAAGAGGGUAAGGUAUGGUAUUUUAUUUGAUUAUAUAAUGAUGUAUUGAAUAGUAUUGUAAUGAAUAAUGUAUGUAUGUCUUAUAUGUUUUACAUGUUAAUAAAAAAUAUUUUUUUAAAAAAAGAAUGUCAGGUGAAGAAAUAGGAGUACCUCUGCUGAUGGAGUUCAGUGAGGUCUUCAACUGGUUUGUGAUGUUUUCUUGAGGCGUUACAAUGUGCAGCCCUUAUUGCAAAAUUUUAUUUGGAAGGGAGCAGUUGUCCUGUUGGAGCAAACCAUCCUUGGAAAAAAAUAAGACAUAAGCAGAAUAACAUGGUAGAAUCCUAAAAUGGAAUGAACUCUUAUCACUUCAGACUGGAGUGCAGAUAGGAAAUUACCUCUUUUGAAUACUCUCUUGCAUAUUAUUUUUUUUUAAAUGCCAAACUCACAUCAAUGCAAGUAGAAUGCUGGGACAUCAAAAAGUGAAGUGGAUAAGACAACUCCCCACCCCAAUUUUCUAGUUGCAGGGAGAUUUUUAAUUUAACGCAAAAGAAUAGUUUUUUAUAAAAAUUCCUCUCUAGAUUCUACCACCACAUUCUAAUGCAUGGGAAUAACAAGCUUAAGUUUCCAUGUAUAACUGGGUAAUAUUUGUAGGACUAAUUUAAUUGUGUGUUUCCCCAUUUCCCUAAGCUGUCCUUCUUUCCAGACUUGCUGAGAAAGCACCUGGGGAAAGGGUCAUGCUGUUCACUUCGGUGGACAAAUUUCUUAAACAAACAGAGAGAUACUUAACCACAAACAGACUCCAGGAAGAGAAGUAUCUUCCUGCCAGGGUGGGAAGCUAGAGAGUGAGUUCAGUGUCCCUGGGUGUUUACAAUUCCAGCUGCCCUGACUAUGAAUUGCUUAUUUUUGGACAAUAGGGCACAGACACUAUAAUUUGGUGUGUGAUCAUUGACACACCCUCUCCUUUGUCUUCCUUUCAAAGCCAAUAUCUCAGGCCCAGAUGGGUUAAUACAUAAUGCAGACAUGCAAGUAAUUGGCUGCCUUUGUAUAGCAGUCAGUCAUAGCUCGCUGUCCCUCUGAUCCACUAUUAGUGGCCAUGCAAACACUCCUUCCACCUAAUUAAGCACAGCUUUGAAAAUACCCUUCCCAAUGAUGUUCCAGUCCCAAGCUAGUGAUUCACAUAUGAGCCCCUACCUGUUAAACCUGCAAUCUCACUCUCUUCUGGGAUAGAAUAUCCCGGCCCGCCCCCAGGUGACCCAGCUGCUUGCUGGGGAUGCUUAGGACCUAAAGGGAGUGGGGAGUGAUAAAUGAUCUUUAGAAUAGUCUGUAUUAAAGAGUUGGAAAUGGGAUGUUAAUAAACCCCAAGCCACUAAUUUAGAGAACACAUGCUCUCCAGGCUAAACCAGUGCCCUGAAACAAUGGCCAAUGAUAAACAUGGCCUUUGCCAAGCAACUGUCUUUCCAAAGGCAGCUUUUGUGCAUUUGUGUACCUAUGCAUGGUAAGUCCAGCUAAUUUUUUGCCCUGUAUAUACCAUUCACCUGGUGUAACAUGUAGGUCUAUUUUACUUAGGUGCUGUCCUGGGAAAGCCUGUCUUGUCUUUCUGCCAGUAACCUGAGAUUUUUAUAACUAAGUGUAGUGUUACUUUCUAGUAUAGUGUAAAGUGCUUGUCUGAACUAGGAAGAUUCAGGUUCAAAUCCCCACUCAGCUAUGAAGCUCCCUGGGUGAUUUCAUCUCUCAGCCAAAUCUACCUUAAAAAGUAGUUGUGAGGAUCCAGUUAGCAGGGAAAAGAACCAUGUACACCACUCUGAGCUUGAAGGAAAUGUGGAUAUAAUUUAAAGAAAAUGAAAUGAAUAAAAGUGUUCUUGAACCACUGACUACCCUUUGAUCCCAGCAGAAAAUAUAUUUGUAUUGCCAAUCUGUUAUAUUGAUUAGGAUUCUGGCAUGUAUAAAAUAUAUGGUGAUAUUUUUUUCAGAAUUGUGGUCAUGAGAACAUUAUCUCAAUAUAUUCCAACUUAUCAUGCCCAACACCUGCUCAUCUAAUGCAAGCAGAAAUGAUGAAUUUGAACCACCAGUGUAUCAGGCUCCUUUAUAUUUUGCUCAUCUGCUAGUCAUGUGUGCUGACGUCUCCAAGCGCUGCCCCAAGGACAUCCUGAAUAAAAACGAACACUCCUUACUCCUUUAUUAGGGAUUAUCAAAAAAUAAGAGGGAAAAUUUGAAUUUUGCUGACUCUGGCCUAGGGUGUAAGAGUGAAAGCUGAAUUUGGUCUAAUUACAAAGAGGAUAAUUGCCACAUUAGGAGUCCUUGAAUAAUGUUUCAUGUUACUGUUCUUUGCAGCAGGUAUAAUCUCAUACACCAGGUAGGGUAUCAAAUGCCCUGCAAAUAUUUGUGCAAACUCUGCUUUAAUUGUAUCUUCUCAAUUGGAUGGACAUAGUCCCUCUAUCCAAUCAGGACAAUCCCAGAUCUUGAUUUUCACAUGGUAUUUGAACAGAGAUAAUGUUGCCCUCAUCAUUUCAGCCUACUCAUUGUGCCUAAUAACAUUAAUACUUAGCACUUCCCAUGCACUAUUGUAUUGGAAUCCUUACAACAACCUUGUAAGGUAGGUCAGUAUUAUCUCCAUACUGCAGGUGGGGUGAAGGACCAAGCCCACCUAGUAAAUUCAUGGCAGAGGUGAGAUUAAAUCAGGUAUUUGGUGUUUCAGAGAGGCUCUCUUAUGCAUUAUGCUAUUUCAUCCACUAAUAAAAUUCAAAAUAUGCCUACUG
Podarcis lilfordi (Lilford's wall lizard) is the source of this 5168-nucleotide non-coding RNA. NCBI's taxonomy places the organism in Eukaryota, Metazoa, Chordata, Lepidosauria, Squamata, Lacertidae. The record is from the annotation of a GenBank genome assembly.